RNAcentral lists this ribosomal RNA (3313 nucleotides) under Solanum lycopersicum (tomato). RNAcentral describes it as "bacterial LSU rRNA". It matches the Rfam family "Eukaryotic large subunit ribosomal RNA". Lineage: Eukaryota; Viridiplantae; Streptophyta; Magnoliopsida; Solanales; Solanaceae. The record is from RNAcentral.
GCGACCCUAGGUCAGACGGGAUUACCCGCUGAGUUUAAGAAUAUCAAUUAGAGAAGAAAAAGAAACUUACAAGGAUUUAUUUAGUAACGGCGAGCGAUUUGGGAAUAGCCUAGCCUUAGAAUCGGGCGGCUCCAUCGUCCAAAUUGUAUUCUAGGGAAGCGUCCCCAACAGUAGACCGGGCCUAAGUCCCAUGGAAGGAGGCGCUAGAGCGGGUGAGAGUCCCGUUGUUCCCGGACCCUGUCGCACCAUGGGGCGCUGUCUACGAGUUGGGUUGUUUGGGAAUGCAGCCCAAAUUGGGCGGUGAAUUUUGUCCAAGGCUAAAUACAGGCGAGAGACCGAUAGCGAACAAGUAGCGCGAGGGAAAGAUGAAAAGGACUUUGAAAAGAGAGUCAAAGGGUGCUUGAAAUUGUCAAGAGGAAAGCGGAUGGGGGUCGGCGAUGCCCCCCGGUCAGAUGUAGAAUGGUGAUGAGUCGGUCCGCCAAUCGACUCGGGGCAUGGACUAGUGUGGAUUGGGGGCGGCCAAAGUCUGGGCUCUCGAUACGCCCGUGGAAUGUUGUCUCCUAGAUUGUUGCAGGUAGCGUGCGCCUCUGGCGUGCUUCGGCAUCUAUGCUCUCUGGACGCUGGCUUGUGGGCUCCCCAUUCGACCCAUCUUGAAACACGAACCAAGAAGUCUGACAUGUGUGCGAGUCAACAGGUGAGUAAACCUGUAAGGUGUAAGGAAGCUGAUUGGUUGGAUCCCCCUGGGGGUGCACCGCCGAUCGACCUAGAUCUUCUGAGAAGGGUUCGAGUGUGAGCAUACAUGUCGGGUCCCGAAAGAUGGUGAACUAUGCCUUAGAGGGACGAAGCCAAAGGAAACUCUGGUGGAGGCCCACCGCGAUACUGACGUGCAAAUCUUUCUUCUGACUUGGGUAUAGGGGCGAAAGACUAAUCGAACCAUCUAGUAGCUGGUUCCUUCUGAAGUUUCCCUCAGGAUAGCUGGAGCUCGCAUGCGAGUUCUAUCGGGUAAAGCCAAUGAUUAGAGGUUCGGGGGUGUAACGCCCUCGACCUAUUCUCAAACUUUAAAUAGGUAGGAUGGCGCGACUGCUUUGUUGAGCCACGCCACGAAAUCAAGAGCUCCAAGUGUGCCAUUUUUGGUAAGCAGAAUUGGCGAUGUGGGAUGAACCAGAAGCUGGGUUAUGGUGCCAAACUGCUCACUAACCUAGAUCCCACAAAGGGUAUUGGUCGAUUAAGACAGCAGGACGGUGGUCAUGGAAGUCAAAAUCCGCUAAGGAGUGUGUAAUAACUCACCUGCCGAAUCAACUAGCCUCGAAAAUGGAUGGCGCUUAAGCGCGCGAUCUACACCCGGCCGUGGGGCAAAUUCCAGGCCUUGAUGAGUAGGAGGGUGCGACAGUCGCUGCAAAACCUUGGGCAUGAGCCUGGGCGGAGCGUCCAUCGGUGGUAAUAGCAAAUAUUCAAAUGAGAACUUUGAAGGCUGAAGAGAGGAAAUGUUCCAUGUGAACGACACUUGCACAUGGGUUAGUUGAUCCUAAGGGUCGAGGAAACCAUGACAGAUAGCGCAUUUUGCGCGUUCUUCAAAAGGGAAUCGGGUUAAAUCUCCUAAACCAGGACGUGGCAGUUGACGACAAUGUUAGGAAGUUUAGACACAUUAGCGGGAACCUCGGGAAGAUUUAUCUUUUCUUUUUAACAACCUGCCCGCACAGGAAUCGACUCAGCCGGAGGUAGGGUCCAACGGUUGCAAGAGCACCGCACAUCGCAUGGUUUCCGUUGCACUCUCGGGUUCUUGAAAAUCCGAAGGACCUAAUGUCGUCCACGCCUGGUUGUACUCAUAACCACAUCAGGUCUCCAAGGUGAACAACCUAUGGUCGAUAGAACAAUGUAGGCAAAAGAAGUUAGCAAAAUGGAUCCGUAACUUCGGGAAAUGGAUUGGCUUUGAGGGCUGGGGACGGGGGUCCCAGUCCCAAACCCAUCGGCAGUCGAUGGACUGCUCGAGCUGAUCUCGUGAUGAAAACGGGUCACCGCGUGUCAACUAGGGGACGGUCUUGGAAUGGUUCCUUCGGGGUUCUUUCCCGAGCAUCGAACAACCAACUCAGAACUGGUACAACCAAGGGGAAUUCGACUGUUUAAUUAAAACAAAGAAUUUCGAUGAUCCAAACAGAUGUUUACGCAAUGUGAUUUCUUCCCAGUGCUCUGAAUGUCAAAGUGAAGAAAUUCAACCAACCGCGGGUAAACGGCGGGAGUAACUAUGACUCCUUUAAAGUAGCCAAAUUCCUUGUCAUCUAAUUAGUGACGCGCAUGAAUGGAUUAACGAGAUCCCCAAUGUCCCUGUCUACUAUCCAGCGAAACCACAACCAAGGGCGUUGGCUUGGAAAAAUCAGCGGGGAAACAAGCCCCUGUUGAGAUUGACUCUAGUCCGACUUUGUGAAAUGACUUGAAGGUGUAGUAUAAGUGGGAGCCAAAAGGCGAAAGUGAAAUAUCACUACUUUUAAUGUUAUUUUACUUAUUCCGUGGAUCGGAAGCGGGGCACUACCCCUCUUUUUGGACCCAAGGAUCGCUUCACAGGCCGAUCCAGGAUGAAGACAUUUUUAGGUGGGGAGUUUGGAUGGAGCGGCACAUAAGUUAAAAGAUAACACAGGUGUCCUAAGAUGAGCUCAACAAGAACAGAAAAUCUUGUGUGGAACAGAAGGGUAAAAGCUCAUUUGAUUCUGAUUUCCAGUACUAACACGAAUUAUGAAAGUAUGGCCUAACGAUCCUUUAGACCUUUGGAAUUCGAAGCUAGAGGUGUCACAAAAUUUACCAAAGGGAUAACUGGCUUGUGUAAGCCAAGCGUUUAUAGCGAUGUUUCUUUUUUAUCCUUCGAUGUCGACUCUUCCUAUCAUUGUGAAGCAGAAUUCACCAAGUGUUGGAUUGUUCACCUACCAAUAGGGAACGUGAGCUGGGUUUAGACCGUCCUAAGACAAGUUAGUUUUACCCUACUGAUGACAGUGUUGCAAUAGCAAUUCAACCAAGUACUAGAGGAACCAUUGGUUCACACAAUUGGCCAUCGCGCUUGGUUGAAAAACCAGUGGCGCGAAAUAUUACUUAUUAGUGAUGCAAAUCUCCUGCUUAUUUUUAUUGUUGUGGGAAUGAAAUUUUUCAAAAUAGUUUGAUCAAAUUACACGGUUUCUCUUGGAGAUUUGGCAGUUCAUUUUUCUAAUCUCUUAAACCCAUGGACAGAGCUUAUGUAUGGAUAAAUAAGAGUUUCAUCAGUUUCUGUGCGGAAGAACGUUGUAUUGGCACUUUCUCAGAUUAUAUUAAAUGACAUGAUGAUCGAUUU